CCUACGGGCGGCAGCAGUGAGGAAUAUUGGUCAAUGGACGAGAGUCUGAACCAGCCAAGUAGCGUGAAGGAUGACUGCCCUAUGGGUUGUAAACUUCUUUUAUAUGGGAAUAAAAUGUUCCACGUGUGGGAUUUUGUAUGUACCAUAUGAAUAAGGAUCGGCUAACUCCGUGCCAGCAGCCGCGGUAAUACGGAGGAGCCGAGCGUUAUCCGGUUUUAUUGGGUUUUAAGGGAGCGUAGGUGGAUUGUUAAGUCAGUUGUGAAAGUUUGCGGCUCAACCGUAAAAUUGCAGUUGAAACUGGCAGUCUUGAGUACAGUAGAGGUGGGCGGAAUUCGUGGUGUAGCGGUGAAAUGCUUAGAUAUCACGAAGAACUCCGAUUGCGAAGGCAGUUCACUGGACUGCAACUGACACUGAGGCUCGAAAGUGUGGGUAUCAAACAGGAUUAGAUACCCGUGUAGUC
This 460-nucleotide ribosomal RNA is filed under the name uncultured bacterium. RNAcentral describes it as "partial 16S ribosomal RNA". It matches the Rfam family "Bacterial small subunit ribosomal RNA", at positions 338 to 795 of the family's 1533-position model. The record is from RNAcentral.